AGCAGCCGCGGUAAUUCCAGCUCCAAUAGCGUAUAUUAAAGUUGUUGCAGUUAAAAAGCUCGUAGUUGAAUUUCGGGAUCAAUAUGCUGGUCGUGCCAUUGGUACGUACUAGUAUUAUUGGUUUCUCCUUUCUGAUGAAUCAUGAUGUCAUUAAUUUGAUGUCAUGAGGAAUCAGGACUGUUACUUUGAAAAAAUUAGAGUGUUUAAAGCAGGCUCGCGCUUGAAUACAUUAGCAUGGAAUAAUGAAAUAGGACGUUUGAUCCUAUUUUGUUGGUUUCUAGGAUCGACGUAAUGAUUAAUAGGGAUAGUUGGGGGCAUUAGUAUUCAAUUGUCAGAGGUGAAAUUCUUGGAUUUAUUGAAGACUAACUACUGCGAAAGCAUUUGCCAAGGAUGUUUUCAUUAAUCAAGAACGAAAGUUAGGGGAUCGAAGACGAUCAGAUACCGUCGUAGUCUUAACCAUAAACUAUGCCGACUAGAGAUCGGAUGAUGUUAAUUUUUUAAUGACUCAUUCGGCGCCUUA
Molecule: unclassified non-coding RNA, 520 nt
Filed under: uncultured Glomus
Lineage: Eukaryota; Fungi; Glomeromycota; Glomeromycetes; Glomerales; Glomeraceae
Also listed under: 1 other name
Description: SSU rRNA
Rfam family: Eukaryotic small subunit ribosomal RNA
Source: RNAcentral